UCCACUAUUUAGUUGGUGAAGUACAAGGCUCUUAACCUUGUGGACGUGGGUUCAAGCCCCACGGUGGAG
Molecule: transfer RNA, 69 nt
Filed under: Triticum aestivum (bread wheat)
Lineage: Eukaryota; Viridiplantae; Streptophyta; Magnoliopsida; Poales; Poaceae
Also listed under: 1 other name
Rfam family: tRNA
About the family: Transfer RNA (tRNA) molecules are approximately 80 nucleotides in length.
Source: Rfam by way of RNAcentral